UACGGAGGGUGCAAACGUUGUCCGGAAUCACUGGGCGUAAAGCGCAUGUAGGUGGUUUGGUAAGUGGGCGAUUAAAGACCGAGGCUUAACCUCGGGACUGUUGCCUAUACUGCCUGACUUGAGUAUGACAGGGGUAAGCGGAACUUUAGGUGUAGGAGUGAAAUCCGUAGAUAUCUAAAGGAACACCAAUGGCGAAGGCAGCUUACUAGGUCGUUACUGACACUGAGAUGCGAAAGCGUGGGGAGCGAACGGG
Molecule: ribosomal RNA, 253 nt
Filed under: uncultured bacterium
Lineage: Bacteria
Description: partial 16S ribosomal RNA
Rfam family: Bacterial small subunit ribosomal RNA
Source: RNAcentral